RNAcentral lists this unclassified non-coding RNA (578 nucleotides) under Hevea brasiliensis (rubber tree). The record is from RNAcentral. Lineage: Eukaryota; Viridiplantae; Streptophyta; Magnoliopsida; Malpighiales; Euphorbiaceae.
CUUGCAUCCAGAAUCUAGCCUACACCUCCUUCGGGAUUGUCCUUUUCUUUUGUCAGGCCUCUUUGGUUUAAUCUGCUUCCUGUUCAUCCUCCUUUAAGUUUCUUUCAGUUGUCGCUUACAGAUUGGUUGGAUACCUAUGAGCAUAGGUUUGAUCAUGCCUCUUCUUUUGUGGUUCUAUGUUGGAGCAUAUGGAAAUUUAGGAAUGAGGUGGUGCUUCAAGGGAAGCGACGCACGUUUCAGGGUAAAAUUACGUUUGUCCGCACUCUUCUCAUGCAUUGUAAGCUGGCCCUUGAUACGCCUGCAGAUGCUCCUGCUUCAGGUACUCGCUUGGUUAGUUGGUGUCCGCCUCCUCGGGAUUUUUUUAAGGUUAAUGUGGUUUUUUCGCUUGGAAAUCCUGGUUUAGCGGGUUUUGGUGCCAUUUUUCGAGGUAGAAGUGGAAAUUGGAUUGUUGGCUUUUCUUGUCAUAUUGGUACUUCUACCAACAUGCUUGCUGAGCUUAUGGCAAUCAGAUUUGGUCUUUCCGAGGCUUGGCAGCGUGGGUUCAGACUUGUCAUUCUGGAAUCGGACUCCUUGGAAAG